CGUGGUUAGCGACUGAUGAAAAUGAAAGACUUGUGCGUAGUGCUACCGAUGCAGGCGGUAUCAACUACAUCAGCGAUCAGACCUUGACGGACACCGACUGCUUCGCCGCAGCGGCAAGCGCAUCUGUCUGACGCUGCANUCAACGAGAUUGUACUGCGAUGAAGCACUGGUCGACGUGCCGGCAGCCGCAGGCUGGCUGAUCGUGAUCUUCGAUCCGUCGCCAUAUGUCAGCGUGGUGGUGAUCGAACCGUCACUGUUCGUUGUCGAGGUGCUCGAAGCGCCUUGCAGCGCCUGCAUCAGCGCAUCAGCGCCGCCACCGGCGCGGUGUGCAUGGGGGUGGCCGCCCUUAGGCUUCAACGCCGACGCCAUCUCGUCGAGACUAACGGAGCCGUCACUGUCGGCAUCCAUCUUGUCAAAAACAUUGUCGGCGG
Molecule: unclassified non-coding RNA, 431 nt
Filed under: Hevea brasiliensis (rubber tree)
Lineage: Eukaryota; Viridiplantae; Streptophyta; Magnoliopsida; Malpighiales; Euphorbiaceae
Source: RNAcentral